CUCGUAGGCGGCCAACUAAGUCCGACGUGAAAUCCCAAAGCUUAACUUUGGAACUGCGUCGGAUACUGGAUGGCUUGAAUCCGGGAGAGGGAUGCAGAAUUCCAGGUGUAGCGGUGAAAUGCGUAGAUAUCGGGAGGAACGCCAGUGGCGAAGGCGGCUUCCUGGCCGGAUACUGACGCUCAAGUGCGAAAGCUGGGGGAGCGAACG
RNAcentral lists this ribosomal RNA (207 nucleotides) under uncultured bacterium. RNAcentral's name for it is "partial 16S ribosomal RNA". It matches the Rfam family "Bacterial small subunit ribosomal RNA", at positions 568 to 774 of the family's 1533-position model. The record is from RNAcentral.